UGCUGAAGUUGGUGUGUGGAUGCUUUUCUAGCAAAAAACAACAGGCUAUACAACAUAACCUGGGCUUAUUCUUCUCUUGGGUGUCUUGUUACCCCAGUAUUGCCUAUGGACUUGUUUUAAAUGGAUUGGUGUGGAUAGAAUGCGGAGUCCUGAACUAUGGUGGAGAAUCCAGCAUGCUGGAGCCUGUGCACUGUGGAGUAAGUGUUUUUAUUGACAAUGAAGCCACAAGGGACUCCUCACAGAAGAGCCAAACAAAUGUCAGAGAUGACAAAUGAUGUACAUAGAAGGAAAGUCUCAGUUUUCAAUUUCUCCAGCAGGUUGAAGUGUUUGGCA
Long non-coding RNA from Trichechus manatus latirostris (Florida manatee), 333 nucleotides. RefSeq lists it as uncharacterized. The record is from RefSeq and is a predicted model, not a curated record. The transcript has 3 exons. Lineage: Eukaryota; Metazoa; Chordata; Mammalia; Sirenia; Trichechidae.